GACGAACGCUGGCGGCGUGCUUAACACAUGCAAGUCGAGCGGAAAGGCCCUUUCGGGGGUACUCGAGCGGCGAACGGGGGAGGAACACGUGAGUAAUCUGCCCUUGGCUUUGGGUUAGCCACCGGAAACGGUGAUUAAUACCGGAUACGACCACUUCUCGCAUGGGAUGGGGGUGGGAAGUUUUUCGGCCAGGGAUGUGCUCGCGGCCUAUCAGCUUGAUGGUGAGGUAAUGGCUCACCAUGGCUUCGAGGGGUAGCCGGCCUGAGAGGGUGACCGGUCACACUGGGACUGAGACACGGCCCAGACUCCUACGGGAGGCAGCAGUGGGGAAUAUUGGACAAUGGGCGGAAGCCUGAUCCAGCAACGCCGCGUGAGGGAUGACGGCCUUCGGGUUGUAAACCUCUUUCAGCAGGGACGAAGCGCAAGUGACGGUACCUGCAGAAGAAGCACCGGCCAACUACGUGCCAGCCGCCGCCGUAA
This 480-nucleotide ribosomal RNA is filed under the name uncultured bacterium. Its description in RNAcentral is "partial 16S ribosomal RNA". It matches the Rfam family "Bacterial small subunit ribosomal RNA", at positions 28 to 523 of the family's 1533-position model. The record is from RNAcentral.